Molecule: unclassified non-coding RNA, 344 nt
Filed under: soil metagenome
Description: partial contains 5.8S ribosomal RNA, internal transcribed spacer 2, and large subunit ribosomal RNA
Rfam family: 5.8S ribosomal RNA (bases 1-119)
Source: RNAcentral
GAUGAAGAACGCAGCGAAAUGCGAUAAGUAAUGUGAAUUGCAGAAUUCAGUGAAUCAUCGAAUCUUUGAACGCACAUUGCGCCCCUGGUAUUCCGGGGGGCAUGCCUGUCCGCGCGUCAUUGCUGCCCUCAAGCACGGCUUGUGUGUUGGGCCUCCGUCCUCCUCCCGGGGGACGGGCCCGAAAGGCAGCGGCGGCACCGCGUCCGGUCCUCGAGCGUAUGGGGCUUCGUCACCCGCUCUUGUAGGCCCGGCCGGCGCUUGCCGACAAAUCAAUCUUUUUUCCAGGUUGACCUCGGAUCAGGUAGGGAUACCCGCUGAACUUAAGCAUAUCAAUAAGCGGAGGA